AGCGAACGCUGGCGGCAGGCUUAACACAUGCAAGUCGAGCGGACGUAGCAAUACGUUAGCGGCAGACGGGUGAGUAACACGUGGGAACGUGCCCUUUGGUUCGGGAUAACCCAGGGAAACCUGGGCUAAUACCGGAUAAGCCCUUACGGGGAAAGAUUUAUCGCCAAAGGAUCGGCCCGCGUCUGAUUAGCUAGUUGGUGGGGUAAUGGCCCACCAAGGCUACGAUCAGUAGCUGGUCUGAGAGGAUGAUCAGCCACACUGGGACUGAGAUACGGCCCAGACUCCUACGGGAGGCAGCAGUGGGAAUAUUGGACAAUGGGCGAAAGCCUGAUCCAGCCAUGCCGCGUGAGUGAUGAAGGCCUUAGGGUUGU
Molecule: ribosomal RNA, 371 nt
Filed under: uncultured bacterium
Lineage: Bacteria
Description: bacterial SSU rRNA
Rfam family: Bacterial small subunit ribosomal RNA
Source: RNAcentral